Molecule: long non-coding RNA, 1148 nt
Filed under: Macaca nemestrina (pig-tailed macaque)
Lineage: Eukaryota; Metazoa; Chordata; Mammalia; Primates; Cercopithecidae
Description: lncRNA (ENSMNEG00000046182.1)
Source: RNAcentral
UUCCAAUUCAGUCAUGUCAAUGCUGAACUUAAAACAGAAUACAAAUCCUGAAAACUUUAAUGUUUACAAUAUGUUCUAUCUUCUAUCCUGCUGCAAAUAUAAUUAUUGCAUAUAAGAAUUCUCUACUGAAAAUUGUUUGAUUUUAACAAUAAUUCAUGCCUAGAUUUUUUUUGCCCUUUUCUUCAUUAUUGUGAAUUCCAAGUUAUGUUAUUAAACAAAAAUAUUAACAUAUUAUUUAUAAAAUUAUUGAUUUGUGUUCUUUUCUGGAUUACCUUGUGCUGAUGGUUUCAUAGGAAAUAACUUCUUUAUAACAUUUGCAUUGCUUUUGAUGAGCAUUGCUUCAGAUGUCUUUACAAUUUACAGAUGACUUUACAAAUGCAGCUUAACUUUGGAGCCUGCUGAAUGUGUUUACUGCCCUAGAUUCUAAACACCUGUAUCUUGAAAGAAACUGCUGUGCAAGGCACAACCUACUGAGUCAUUUUCAAAACAUUGAGUACAGGGAGCAGGUGUUCAGUUGUCAGUAAUGGAAUAAAAUAAAGUUACAAACUGGGUUAGUUAAUAAUAUGAGGUGCAUAAACUAUAUUUCCAGACUUGCAGUUAAAUUUCUUUAUUUAAUUUUCAAAAUUACUAAAAUACUCUACUCUUUGAAGAUGAACUUCACCUGAAUAUAAUAGAUGUCUCACUCCAUAUCUAUUAAUCUCAACAUAAUUUCUGAUGCAUUAAACCAUGGCAGAUUACCCAUUUUCUCUUUACCUCUAGGAUAACUAAGAUACCAGAAAUAUUUAUUCCAAGAGAAGAUGCAAUGUGGUCACUUCAUAAAUCAUCACCUUCGAAGACUAGCACAACUGGUCAAAGGAAUUUGUGAAGCUGCUAUUUGACAUCACUUUAAGCAAAAGAAAAGAAAAGAGAAGGAAGAAAGAAAGAGAGAAAAAUAAAUAAAGGGGAAAAAGAAUACUACAGUGUGUUAUUUUGGCAUCAUAUCAGACACUCUUUCUGAAGACAAUCAUCUCAUCUGUGAACCCUGCACUUUUGAGAUCAGAGGAUGGGGCUGUGGAAAUCUUGGAGCUGGAGGAGAGAUCUCCUCAGGGUUAUAUGAUUUUUAUUUCUCCAUGAAAUGGACUGGGAUCCUCCCACUCAGAUAUCCAUGA